RNAcentral lists this transfer RNA (72 nucleotides) under Shimia sp. Its description in RNAcentral is "tRNA-Gln". It matches the Rfam family "tRNA". Rfam says of the family: Transfer RNA (tRNA) molecules are approximately 80 nucleotides in length. Their secondary structure includes four short double-helical elements and three loops (D, anti-codon, and T loops). Further hydrogen bonds mediate the characteristic L-shaped molecular structure. tRNAs have two regions of fundamental functional importance: the anti-codon, which is responsible for specific mRNA codon recognition, and the 3' end, to which the tRNAs corresponding amino acid is attached (by aminoacyl-tRNA synthetases). tRNAs cope with the degeneracy of the genetic code in two manners: having more than one tRNA (with a specific anti-codon) for a particular amino acid; and 'wobble' base-pairing, i.e. permitting non-standard base-pairing at the 3rd anti-codon position. Lineage: Bacteria; Pseudomonadati; Pseudomonadota; Alphaproteobacteria; Rhodobacterales; Roseobacteraceae. The record is from RNAcentral.
GGCCUCGUGGUGUAACGGUUAGCACUCUGGACUCUGAAUCCAGCGAUCGCGGUUCAAAUCCGCGCGAGGCCU